ACAUCGCCAAGCUACAGUCCCACAUCACCAAGUUAUAGUCCCACUUCUCCGAGCUACAGUCCCACAUCGCCAGUUUAUAGUCCGACCUCUCCAGCAUACAGCCCAACAUCUCCUGCAUACAGCCCGACAUCUCCAUCAUACAGCCCGACAUCGCCAUCAUACAGCCCUACUUCACCUUCAUACAGCCCUACCUCUCCAUCUUACAGCCCUACGUCUCCAUCAUACAGCCCUACGUCUCCUUCAUACAGCCCUACGUCUCCAUCAUACAGCCCGACAUCGCCCUCGUACAGCCCGACAUCGCCUGCAUACAGCCCGACAUCGCCUGGAUACAGCCCAACAUCGCCGAGCUACAGCCCUACUUCGCCAAACUACAGUCCAACUUCACCGAGCUACAAUCCUUCUUCGGCCAAGUACAGCC
Molecule: long non-coding RNA, 418 nt
Filed under: Brachypodium distachyon (stiff brome)
Lineage: Eukaryota; Viridiplantae; Streptophyta; Magnoliopsida; Poales; Poaceae
Description: long non-coding RNA (BDIS_LNC003090)
Source: RNAcentral